GACGAACGCUGGCGGCGUGCUUAACACAUGCAAGUCGAACGGUAAGGCCCUUCGGGGUACACGAGUGGCGAACGGGUGAGUAACACGUGGGUGAUCUGCCCUGCACUUCGGGAUAAGCCUGGGAAACUGGGUCUAAUACCGGAUAGGACCCUGGGAUGCAUGUCCUGGUGGUGGAAAGCUUUUGCGGUGUGGGAUGGACCCGCGGCCUAUCAGCUUGUUGGUGGGGUGAUGGCCUACCAAGGCGACGACGGGUAGCCGGCCUGAGAGGGUGACCGGCCACACUGGGACUGAGAUACGGCCCAGACUCCUACGGGAGGCAGCAGUGGGGAAUAUUGCACAAUGGGCGCAAGCCUGAUGCAGCGACGCCGCGUGAGGGAUGACGGCCUUCGGGUUGUAAACCUCUUUCAGCACCGACGAAGCGCAAGUGACGGUAGGUGCAGAAGAAGGACCGGCCAACUACGUGCCAGCAGCCGCGGUAA
This 479-nucleotide ribosomal RNA is filed under the name uncultured bacterium. RNAcentral describes it as "partial 16S ribosomal RNA". It matches the Rfam family "Bacterial small subunit ribosomal RNA", at positions 28 to 523 of the family's 1533-position model. The record is from RNAcentral.